CUGGCGGCAGGCCUAACACAUGCAAGUCGAGCGGCAGCGACAACAUUGAACCUUCGGGGGAUUUGUUGGGCGGCGAGCGGCGGACGGGUGAGUAAUGCCUAGGAAAUUGCCCUGAUGUGGGGGAUAACCAUUGGAAACGAUGGCUAAUACCGCAUGAUGCCUACGGGCCAAAGAGGGGGACCUUCGGGCCUCUCGCGUCAGGAUAUGCCUAGGUGGGAUUAGCUAGUUGGUGAGGUAAGGGCUCACCAAGGCGACGAUCCCUAGCUGGUCUGAGAGGAUGAUCAGCCACACUGGAACUGAGACACGGUCCAGACUCCUACGGGAGGCAGCAGUGGGGAAUAUUGCACAAUGGGCGCAAGCCUGAUGCAGCCAUGCCGCGUGUGUGAAGAAGGCCUUCGGGUUGUAAAGCACUUUCAGUCGUGAGGAAGGUAGUGUAGUUAAUAGCUGCAUUAUUUGACGUUAGCGACAGAAGAAGCACCGGCUAACUCCG
RNAcentral lists this ribosomal RNA (490 nucleotides) under marine sediment bacterium ISA-2693. RNAcentral describes it as "bacterial SSU rRNA". It matches the Rfam family "Bacterial small subunit ribosomal RNA", at positions 36 to 505 of the family's 1533-position model. The record is from RNAcentral.